Catharus ustulatus (Swainson's thrush) is the source of this 160-nucleotide long non-coding RNA. RefSeq lists it as uncharacterized. The transcript has 3 exons. The record is from RefSeq and is a predicted model, not a curated record. NCBI's taxonomy places the organism in Eukaryota, Metazoa, Chordata, Aves, Passeriformes, Turdidae.
CGGUGGUUGAGCGCAGGCGGAGGGGUUGUUUUUGCUGCCACACAAGGAGCUCAUGUGGGGGUUUCCCUUUUAUCUUUCAUGCCUGAAGCUUUGUGUUGUUCUUGGAAAGUUGCGCACCACUUGUGAAUUCCCUGAACCUUGGCCUUGCCAGCCCCUUUGU